This 65-nucleotide transfer RNA is filed under the name Thoradonta nodulosa. Its description in RNAcentral is "tRNA-Pro". Lineage: Eukaryota; Metazoa; Arthropoda; Insecta; Orthoptera; Tetrigidae. The record is from RNAcentral. RNAcentral also lists the same sequence under 2 other names.
CAGAGGGUAGUUUAGAUAAAAUAUUAAAUUUGGGUUUUAAAGAUGGAUGUGUUUCUUUCCUCUGA